CAGGGUGUGGGAAAGCCUGGUUAAUCCACUCGCCUCGGAUGCGAGAAAUCGUCGGUUCAAAUCCGACCACCCUGACCA
This 78-nucleotide transfer RNA is filed under the name Burkholderia cenocepacia. RNAcentral describes it as "tRNA-Pro". It matches the Rfam family "tRNA". Rfam says of the family: Transfer RNA (tRNA) molecules are approximately 80 nucleotides in length. Their secondary structure includes four short double-helical elements and three loops (D, anti-codon, and T loops). Further hydrogen bonds mediate the characteristic L-shaped molecular structure. tRNAs have two regions of fundamental functional importance: the anti-codon, which is responsible for specific mRNA codon recognition, and the 3' end, to which the tRNAs corresponding amino acid is attached (by aminoacyl-tRNA synthetases). tRNAs cope with the degeneracy of the genetic code in two manners: having more than one tRNA (with a specific anti-codon) for a particular amino acid; and 'wobble' base-pairing, i.e. permitting non-standard base-pairing at the 3rd anti-codon position. Lineage: Bacteria; Pseudomonadati; Pseudomonadota; Betaproteobacteria; Burkholderiales; Burkholderiaceae. The record is from RNAcentral.